AUUGAACGCUGGCGGCAUGCUUUACACAUGCAAGUCGAACGGCAGCGCGGGCUUCGGCCUGGCGGCGAGUGGCGAACGGGUGAGUAAUACAUCGGAACGUGCCCAGUAGUGGGGGAUAGCACGGCGAAAGCCGGAUUAAUACCGCAUACGACCAGAGGGUGAAAGCGGGGGAUCUUCGGACCUCGCGCGAUUGGAGCGGCCGAUGGCAGAUUAGCUAGUUGGUGGGGUAAAGGCCUACCAAGGCGACGAUCUGUAGCUGGUCUGAGAGGACGACCAGCCACACUGGGACUGAGACACGGCCCAGACUCCUACGGGAGGCAGCAGUGGGGAAUUUUGGACAAUGGGCGAAAGCCUGAUCCAGCAAUGCCGCGUGUGUGAUGAAGGCCUUCGGGUUGUAAAGCACUUUUGGCGGGAACGAAAAGGACUGUGCCAAUACCACGGUUCGAUGACGGUACCCGCAGAAUAAGCACCGGCUAACUACGUG
Molecule: ribosomal RNA, 484 nt
Filed under: uncultured bacterium
Lineage: Bacteria
Description: partial 16S ribosomal RNA
Rfam family: Bacterial small subunit ribosomal RNA
Source: RNAcentral